UACCUUGUGAAUGCUAAAGAGCUCUUAAAGUGUAAGACCUCUGAUUUACUAAUUACAUUUGAAGAACUAAUGGAAGUAAAAAUCUAGAUAAUUUAGUUUUAUUUCUCUGUGAGAAUAUAACUAUUGUCGUGUGUGUGUGUGUGUGUGUGUGAUAGUAGCAAAACUAUAUAUUCAUGUGCAAAUGUAGCAUUAUUACUGUAAGAAAAC
Etheostoma spectabile (orangethroat darter) is the source of this 207-nucleotide long non-coding RNA. RefSeq lists it as uncharacterized. Lineage: Eukaryota; Metazoa; Chordata; Actinopteri; Perciformes; Percidae. The transcript is spliced from 3 exons. The record is from RefSeq and is a predicted model, not a curated record.